RNAcentral lists this long non-coding RNA (1084 nucleotides) under Macaca fascicularis (crab-eating macaque). Its description in RNAcentral is "lncRNA (ENSMFAG00000053501.1)". The record is from RNAcentral. Lineage: Eukaryota; Metazoa; Chordata; Mammalia; Primates; Cercopithecidae.
GGAGAAGGAAACUUGGAUUUAUUGAGCACCUGUUCGCGCAGGGCAUGUCACAUACACACAUGAACUUGAUGCCAUUUAUUUCAGAGACAGAGCCCUGGAGAUACAAAUUUCCCAGCUCUGCUCAGUGCUCUGGCCAACUGCCCACCAUUAGGGAACACAAGUGGAUGGUCACCACAUCCACUUGUUUUAUAAUUAAUAUAAUUGAAACCAACAAGAGGAACUUGAAGGGGCCUUACCCACAGUUUAGAAGACAAAUCAACUCUCAAGGGCUGCCUCUUCAACAUGGGUUUUCCCAUCUUUGGCCAAGACAUAUGAUCCCACAAAGCCAUUGCCAACCACAGACAUUAUUUCAUUUCUGUGAGCUCGGAGCACUGAGAUGGCUGGAGUGCACCCUGAGGGCUGAUUCUGUGUUCUCCAAAUGCACGUCCCAUCGGGAGGUGGGAACAUUCCUCAUGGUUGCAAAUUCUUUCUCUUCCUGCUUCUUUUCCCUCUCUGGACAGCGGUAGUGUUUGUAUUAUUUCUCCCUGGGUGAUCUCUGGACAUGACUGACAAUGAAGCCCAUUGACUCAUUUUCCUAAAGUUUUUCUUUUGAAGAAAGAGGUAAAUUUGUCAAGUGUCUGGUCAGGGUUUUGUAGCACCAAGAGUUUCCUUAAAAUGGGCAGUUACACAUCAGACGGGGGCUGUCAGAAGAAUGAAGAAACGAUCUCCUGCCCCAUAAAUCAAGUUUUCCCAACUUCAAAGGAGUGGGAAAGAACUCACAAAGCAUCAGCAUAUGAAAUAAUAAUAAUAAUUAGCAACAAGAAUAAUAUUAAUAAUCAUCUGACCGACCGGCAGCAUCUGUUGGAUUUAAUAAUUUUGAGGUCUCUCAAGAAAAUAAAACAAAAAGCAAACAAUAAAAGAAAGAAAAAAAAGGAACACAUGGCUGAAGUCUUUCAAGACCUCUGGCUUCCCACUGGGCUCCGAGUUCAAGUUUCAGAAAUCCACUGCAGUCUUCCGGCUUUCCAGAGUCCUCUAGGGGCCCUUCACAUUACCUGGCCGGGCAGCAAGGCUGGCGAAGUAGGCACACUGGGAAGGGUCACACUGG